CCUACGGGGGGCUGCAGUCGAGAAUCAUUCACAAUGGGGGAAACCCUGAUGGUGCGACGCCGCGUGGGGGAAUGAAGGUCUUCGGAUUGUAAACCCCUGUCAUGUGGGAGCAAAUUAAAAAGAUAGUACCACAAGAGGAAGAGAAGGCUAACUCUGUGCCAGCAGCCGCGGUAAUACAGAGGUCUCAAGCGUUGUUCGGAAUCACUGGGCGUAAAGCGGGCGUAGGUGGGUUCGUAAGUCGUGUGUGAAAGGCGCGGGCUCAACCCGCGGACGGCACAUGAUACUGCGAGACUAGAGUAAGGGAGGGGGAACGGGAAUUCUCGGUGUAGCAGUGAAAUGCGUAGAGAUCGAGAGGAACACUCGUGGCGAAGGCGGGUUCCUGGACAUUAACUGACGCUGAGGCACGAAGGCCAGGGGAGCGAAAGGGAUUAGAUAUCCGGGUAGUC
Molecule: ribosomal RNA, 446 nt
Filed under: uncultured bacterium
Lineage: Bacteria
Description: partial 16S ribosomal RNA
Rfam family: Bacterial small subunit ribosomal RNA
Source: RNAcentral